RNAcentral lists this transfer RNA (73 nucleotides) under Nanobdellota archaeon. RNAcentral's name for it is "tRNA-Thr". It matches the Rfam family "tRNA". Rfam says of the family: Transfer RNA (tRNA) molecules are approximately 80 nucleotides in length. Their secondary structure includes four short double-helical elements and three loops (D, anti-codon, and T loops). Further hydrogen bonds mediate the characteristic L-shaped molecular structure. tRNAs have two regions of fundamental functional importance: the anti-codon, which is responsible for specific mRNA codon recognition, and the 3' end, to which the tRNAs corresponding amino acid is attached (by aminoacyl-tRNA synthetases). tRNAs cope with the degeneracy of the genetic code in two manners: having more than one tRNA (with a specific anti-codon) for a particular amino acid; and 'wobble' base-pairing, i.e. permitting non-standard base-pairing at the 3rd anti-codon position. The record is from RNAcentral. Lineage: Archaea; Nanobdellati; Nanobdellota.
GCCUCCAUAGCUCAGUCGGUAGAGCGGCAGUUUUGUAAACUGUAGGUCGUCGGUUCGAUCCCGGCUGGAGGCU